AAUCUGGCCGAAGCUGGUGUCGGCCCGCACCAGGAACUGCACCAUCACGUCCACUUUUUUGAUGUGCAUCGUUCCGAUGCCACUGUCCGAGUAGUUGCCGUCAGUUUUGCGAACAGUUUGCACCGCUUGGAGAAGAUGCUGUCCUUAUACUUGACCGGCGUGAACUCCACCUUGGAUGAAGCCCGUUCCGGGCGUGGAACUUGUCGAGCCAAACCAGUAGCUGAAUGGUUUGGCUGGCUGUCGUCGUCGUGUUUGUUGUGUUGGCGUGACGCUUCCAAACAUGAAUCCGCUGGUGACCGGCUUUGCGGCCGUUGACUCCUUUGUGUCCAUUUUCCUGCUACUCUGCUUGGCCUCGAUCUCAUCAAGAUACUAUUCGUGAUCCUUGAAGAUCGGAUUCUGAAUUGAACUUCCCCGAAAACCCAGCGGCCACGGCCACAUUGAGCGCCUUCGCGUUAACUGCAUUUUCCUCAUCCCCGGUGUCCUUGCCGGCGGAGUCUACUGUGUUUUUCAUUGGCGGGCUUACAACCCCGGGAAAGACCUUCUUGCUCGAGUCGGUCGUAGCAAAGAUGCUGGCUCCCAGCGUGACGACGUGGCCGCCGUCCUAUUCGUAGGUUUCGCAGUUCCACUGAGAUGCGAAAAUGGACUGGCUCCUCGGUAGGCUUCACCGCCGGUGGUGACGUCACCCCGGCGAAUCCUUUGAACGCACCAAACACCGACGACAAUCCACCGCUGCCCGCAGAAUCUGUGCCGGCGAAUCCAUUUGACUCCGUAAUGACGCGUUUUUUCGGUUGCUCCUCGGACGUCUGAGCAAAUCGGCUCACCACCCGAUGGAACUUUUGUGGCUUCUGCGAAAAAAAAUGUUUUUGUUUUGUGUUUUUGACAUUUCUUCAUCAGACCAAGAUAAUGAUAGAAGGUGGGAACCGUUAGUUGAUUAGCAUCACACUAAUUGAUUAGCUGAUAAUUUCUAAUCAAUUAGUCGAUUAUUUUAAUUGAUUAGAGCAUGUGUCCUGCCCCUCGGUCGACCCGGUCACGGAAAUUUCUAGCAGAGUUGGUUCUGCUAGAACCCUGCUAGAAUUAUUCUAGCAGGCCUGCCGGAAUCCUCUAAGAAUUUUACCGGAAAAUUCUCACAGAGCGAAAUCUGUAAGAAUUUUGUUAGAAUUUUGCUAGAAAACUCUUACAGGGCGAAAUCUGUCAGAUUUCUGUUAGAAUUUUGCUAGAAUGUUCUAGCAGGAAAAAUAUCUGUCGAAAAUGACGUCAUUUUCGCAAACCUCGUGGUUGAUCGUGUUUUCACCGGUCAUCUUUCUUCUCUUUCUUUCUUUCGGAGGUUUUUUUCUAAAAGACGGACGGUUUUUUUUUUUCGUGCCUCAUUAUUCUGGAACAAGGUUUUCGAUGGUGUUGCGUUGCAAGCAGGAAAAUGGCCUUCAUUCGAGAAAACCAGAUAGACCGCUAGGAAGAGGAAAAAUAUGAAGCUGUGGUGUGAUGAAAUGAAAAAAUGACUACACACAAAAAAAUAUUAUGGUAAUGACAAAAGUAACUUACUUUUGAAUUAAUAUGUGGUUAAAAUUUGCUACAUUAAAAGUUUUUUUCUUGUUUUGAAAAUGAAAACUUUUACUGCUACAGUUUUUGAAAAUCUCAUUGCUCACUGAUUUAAAAGUUUUUCCUUUUAAUUCGACUGUAAAAUUUCUUUAAUUUUGACGUUCUCGUGUAACCGUGUACGACUAAGUCGCAAAUGUAACCAAACACUUUGGUGGGUCCGGUGGUGCUGGUGAGUCUAGGACGCAAAGCAAAGCCGACCGCGGCAGCAGCCAGGACUCGGACGCGGAAACCUUUGUGAGCCAAACAGCAGCAGCGGAACUCCUUCGAAGGAGGGUGGUGCAGGAGCGGGACGAUGUUGAGUGCUCAAAAAGAACAAGGCCAGCUUCCUGCUGGAACUGCAGCUGUUCCACGGCCGGAAUGCGAUGAGAGGUAGGAAUGUGGAUUCGCACCGGUUGUAUUCGGUGGUGGUGGCCCGGGAUUGGUGAUUGAAGGUCAAUUCCCGCGAGGACUGGGGAGAGAUCAUCGAGGAGAUGGCGCUGCCGAAGCGUUGCGUGAACAACGAGAUUGCGAUGAAGAAGAUUAACUUCCCUUGUAACUUCCGGUUUUUGGACAAGUACGGGAAAGUUUAUUUUCACGGUGAGGAGAAGGAUCCGACGAAGAGGAGGACGACGAAAAGCUACAUAAUCGGAGGUGGUCAGCGCAGAUGUUGCACGCGGUGCCGGCGGUUUACAACACCGCAACAUCCCGCCCACAAACACUCACCUCGCGACGGCGCAGCUUCAGCCGAAUGAACCAGGACAGUGAGCCAAAAAAAAAUCUGUGUCAUACCCGAAGUAACGUGCUCAAAAUCGAAUUCCGUUCCGAGGGCCUCAUCAACUCCCUGUUUCGGAUGCGCUUCCAGUAUCGGGAACUCCCCGUUCAGGCACUUUAGUUCCGAGCCGGAAAACGUCGAUCACCCUUCCCGAAUCAACGGCCAACUCAUCCAAGACUAUCCUGAUUGAGGCCGGAAACGUGACCAUCGUGUAAAACUGCUGACGCGCGUCGGAAUCUCCAUCCGGAACCGUCCUGGGGUAUUCGGAAGUGACCGGUGGCGUACCGUAUGAAUCGGUACAGCUUGGACUCGAAUAUUGGCCUACAUUGAGCUGAAGCUAGUGGAGAAGCGUUAAAUACAAUAAAAAAUGUUUUUUUAAACAUGCAGUUUAAUUUUUUUUUAAAUAAAUGUAAAAAAACCAAGCACAUUUUUCUGAAAUUAUCCCUGUAGUGCUAAAUGUUGUGUAUUCUUGCCAUAAAAGGUUUCUUUUCCAAUUAAAAGUAAAAUACUUUUACCAAUACAACGAUUUUGAUCCAUAAAUGCAUAGUACAGCCAUCCCUCAUAUUCGGAACAGUUUACAGAUCGGCCAAUGUUCAACAAAUCAUAUAAAAUCGAUAAUUGAUUAUAAUGAUUUGCUUUUACCUUCAUGUGAAAGCUUUUCUUGCGAUCUUUCGAUUGAUGUAUAGACCGGCUGUUCAUUUUUACGUUUGAUAUCAAGUUUUCAAAGAAAAACAUUGACCCUUGAAAUCCACAAAUUCGGAACACUUUUAUCUUACGAUGUAAACAAACUUUUUUUUCUCUCCAGGAGUACAUAUUUUUAACAAAAUAAUGACUUUGCACUCUGAAACCAACGAAACUCAUGUUUAGUAAUGUUUUAUGAAUGGCCUGAUAACUUUUUUGUGAAAAUAUCAGUUAAAUGCAGGUGUUCCACAAUUGUGGAAGACACAAUAACAUCCCACAAUCAUGGAACAGGCAAUUUGGAGGCAGUGUUUUGGUGCUCUGGAUAAAAUAGUCUUGAAAUGCAGUUUUUGUUUAACAAGUAUUACUUUUACUAGUGAAAUAGCAAGAGAAUGUCCAAAUAGAGGCCCUAAAAAUAGCAGGGUCGGCAGAAAAGUUGCAUUUUGCUUUCUAUUGACAAAUUACCACAAAAGUGUUCCGAAUUUGUGGGUGUUCCGAAUAUGUGGGAUGACUGUAGUAUCAAAAACUUUCCAACUUUUAAAUUGAAAAGUUUGAACUUUCUACGAAUAUUCACCAACGCGAACUUUUAAUCCAACGAACGAUCUUUUUAAAUUUAGAGUAAUUUUUCUUUGAGUGUAGUGUACAUAUCUUGACUUUUUUUUGAUAAGGUCCUAUAAACAAAUGUAAACAUUGAGUGUAUCCCGCUUACUCCGAUGGACUUUGACAUAAGGUGUGAAAGGGAUACACUCAAUGUUUACAUUUGUUUAUAGGACCUUAUCAAAAAAAAGUCAAGAUAUGUAAAUAAUAAAAUAAAUGUUAACUAAGUUAUGUACAGUUAUUGUUUUAUUUUACUACAACAAUUCUAGCAGAAAAUAAAUCUGACAUAUUCUAGCAAAAUUCUAGCAGGAUUCUAGAAAAAAUGCUCUCCGCUCCAUUCCAGCAAAAUUCUUACAGAAUUCUAGCAGGAGGCCUGUCAGAAUAGUUCUAGCAAAAUUCUAGCAGGAUUCUAACAUAACCGUUUGAUAUCGCCGCUUCUGCUAGAACCGGUUAUUGCAUUUGAGCUAGAAUUCUUUGAGAAUUCUCGCAAAGUUCUAGCGCGAUGAUGGCAUAGUUCUAGUAAGAAUAUUUUCGCCCUGCUAGAAUUCUAUAAGAAUCCUGUGAGAACGCCGUGACUGGGGAACUGGCACCCAGAUACGAGAUUUUCUUACAGAAUUGGUUCUGUAAGAAUCCUGCUAGAAUGAUUCUAGCAGCACUGUCAGAAUUCUGUAAGAAUUUUGCAAGAAUUUUCUAAUAGAAAAAUACUGCUCACUGAUUGGUUGGCGUUAACCGGUUCAAAUCAUGUUUGAACAAGAUUAAUUUUCACUCGUUUUUUUAAUGUUGACCACGUUUUUUCGCGAGAAAAAACCUCCGCGCUGCAAAUUGCCAGGCCGUCGGAAAUCGAAACUUAUCUGGCAGAUUAAAACACUAUCGUUAGGUAAGCCAUCACUCCCACUAUUCCGGCAUAAGUUGCGAAUAUAUUUUUUAGGCAUAAUAAAACUCAACCUCUUCCUCAAUUUUUCCGCUCUUUACAGGCAUGGCUCUGCAGUUAUGGCGACAUCCAGACCUCGGAUCUGGAGUCCGGAUUAUCUCUUCGGCUUCUUGGCCGCGACAUCGUCUUGUAAUAGUCCCAACCCGGGUUACUUGGAAAUAUUGGCAAUGAAAAGCAGAGGAGUGUUGUCGAAGAAUCAACAGCCGCCUCCUACACCGAUAGUGAUGUGACUUAUUAGACCAGAAAACGAGUUAGGUUGUGAUAAACAUAGAAAUAAAUUUUGUUCGAAAUUAAAUUUUAUUUUGCUUCAAUUUAUCCAACACCCAGAUCGAAAGUCCGUAAACCCACGAUGUUUUGUAAGGCAACGAUGUUUUUUGAAAAUUUCGAUGAACUGUAUGCAGCGCGUUAGAGUGAAAGAGAAAGCAUGCUUUGUGUUUUCAUCGAAGUUUCGCUAAGCAUGCUAUCUCGCUCCUUCAUGUUUGCGAAUUUUUCGGCAGUUCUGUCAAACGAAAAAAAAAACGUGGCGUGCAUGUUUUUUCCUUCGCGAAACUUUGGCGUUUAGUCAACUUUUCUGGGCUUGUUCCGGGUUGUAGGUGGAAUCGGCAGUCCAAGUAGUUUGUAUUGUUUUGUUUGCUGUAAAAUUAAACUUCUUUGAAUUCUCUAUUUCAGGGCAUUUGCAAAUCUCCGGUGAUUCCGGGUUUCCCGCCCUGCAAGUACCCUUGGAAAAACGCUGUACGGAACAGGUUCGAAGGAAGAUUUUGGCACUACAAGAGUGCUCUCAGAGCGAUUGCGGUUGCUGCCCACCAAGCGGGCCCGGGCCCCAACAGCAGCAAGCUCCGUUACGACGCAGUUCCGUACGCAGAUGCCACCGUACUAUGGCAGCGGAGGCGCAGGUGGAAGUUCCGGAUCGCCACAGCCUCCAUCGGACGGUUCACCUUCGUCGGGACCGAUGAACGACGACCGGGACAAUCGUGGAAUGCGAAACAGUGUUGGCGGAGGCGGAUACAACAGGUUGCUACCAGAUUUCGUCUCAGGCGGCAACAGUACGAAUCAUCAGCAAUCACAUGGACCAAACUAUUUGCCGACGCAUUGGUGUGGCAAAUACCGUGACGAGGCUGUCGCGAACAAAUGUAACCUCCAAGGUUGGCCACCCGGCAGCACCAGCACCAGGAUCACGACUAUCACCGGCGGGACUUUUCGUCGGCGGCGGCUUCGUUCAUAGAGCCGGAGAUUGUCGUUCAGCGGCCAACCAUCGACCGUCAGUCAACCGCCAUCGCCCUCUCCAAAGAAUGGCCACGCCUGCGUCGGAGGUCUUGAACUGGACGUCGAGGCCAAGGAACGUCUCGAGUUGCGUCGUGAGGACCAGCGAAGGGAACGCAAGCAGGCCGCUGCCAGGAAACUGAAGAAGUUGGAGCAGCAGCUGAAGACUAAGAAGGGUGUAAACGGAGCAGCAGGGUGACGGCAAGAGUGGUACGGUCCGCGGUUCAUCCACACCCAGCAAUGGGCAAAGGUCAAGCAACGUCGGGGAAUGGAUCAUGGCGAACGGGACGAUCGUGACCGCAGUGCCAUGGUCCCACGCGAUUUUAUGAUGAAGCGUCGCAUUAACUCCAGUCUUUUUCAAUAUUCCGCUUCCGACUAGGUAUUGGCUGGUCUGAUCCGCAGGGAAAUCGGUCGGAUGAUGACGACGAAGAGGAUUAACAAAAGCAACCGGUAGCAGCGGAUCCGGUGCUGCUCGAGCACAGGUACAAACAGUAAUUUCUAAAACCUCUUUACCCAAUCUAAAUAUCCCCUUUUUCAGGUCAAAUAAUUCGAACGUCAACACCAGGAAGCAGGGAAACGGAAGUCAGUUUUGGAGUUCCGCCACCACCGUUGAGCCACACGGAGCGACGUAGAUCGAUCAACCAAACAACUUCCAUCGGGCCAGAGUGCCGAAGGUGACGCACCGUCCACGAAAAUUGAGCUCAGGGAAUGUAGAAGCUGCUUAGCUGAGUGGUUCCGGUGAAUUUGCCGAACGCCGCGGCCUCUUGGCUUGCCAGAUACGCAGGCCGUGAACCGGCGCAUGACCGUCGAGAGAAAAAUCAAGAAAAGCGGCAGUGCCCAAUACGAGCCAGCAGGAACUUUCAAAAAAACGGACAACCCCCGAAAUGCCGAAAAUCUGGAAUUGCCACGCGGGACGGCCAUGGUUCAAGAAGUUCCCUCGAGAGACGCAGCAAGGAGCAGGCUAGCCGGAUUGUCGCCACCCUGCAAGUUCAAUCAGAACGGAACAGAUAGCUCGGAACGCGCUAGUAUCGCCCUACAACUGUCCUCGGAACGGUGGAUUCAGUGCUGGACUUACGCGCCAGGCCAAGAUCAACCGGAACCGGUUCAUGUUCCCGGCCAAUUCUUGUUAUAAUUUAGGUUCUUGCAAUCUGAAACUGCCACGUGCAACGGACAUGGCCCUACAAGUUCUCUCGAAAAGAAGCAGCAUAAAAUAGGCUCGCGGAACGGUCGCCGUUCUGCAAAUGCCCAUAGAAGAAAGAAGCAUGGAAUGGGCUCGAUGGACUGUUGCCAAACUGUAAGUGCCCUCGGAACUACGCUGGAAAGAACAUGGCCGCUGGAACGACCAUGGCCCUGAAAGUUCCCUCAGAAUGGCACUGGCAUAUACCUGGAAUUACCACGCGGAACGGCCGUGGUUUUCAAGGUUCCCCCGAAAAGAGUCAGCACGGAACAGGUUUGCCAGGCGGUCGCAAUCCUACAAGUGCCCUCGGAAUGGGCUCGAUGUACGGUUAUGGCCCUGCCAGCUUCCUCGGAACGUCGCUGCAUGAAUCAGGCUUGGCGGACGGUUGCCACCCUGCAAGUGACCUCGAAACCUCGGAUAAAAUGCUUCCCGAACACGUCCAAUCAAGAUAUCAACCGAAUCCGCUCAACGAU
Long non-coding RNA from Culex pipiens pallens (northern house mosquito), 7463 nucleotides. RefSeq lists it as uncharacterized. The record is from RefSeq and is a predicted model, not a curated record. The transcript has 5 exons. Lineage: Eukaryota; Metazoa; Arthropoda; Insecta; Diptera; Culicidae.